Molecule: long non-coding RNA, 290 nt
Filed under: Citrus sinensis (sweet orange)
Lineage: Eukaryota; Viridiplantae; Streptophyta; Magnoliopsida; Sapindales; Rutaceae
Description: long non-coding RNA (CSIN_LNC003388)
Source: RNAcentral
CAAAUCUGGAAGUUUCUAGCAUUCGCGCAGGCACGGUCACCGUCAACGUGGCAGCCCUCACGCGCAUCCGUCAUUGAACUCACGAACCGUCACAGUUAUCACAGCCUCAGGUAAUGCUUCGAUCUUUAGCUUUUUUAGGUUACGGUAAAAUGGGGACAAUUUUGAAAGCUAUCAAUUUCCGUUUUAUUUAAUUUUCGGUUGAAAUUAAAUGUUAAGGAAAUAACUGUGUUUGUGCUGAAUUGGUCUGGAAUUUGUGCUUGAGUUGGUCUGCAAUUUGUGUGCUCGAAUUG